RNAcentral lists this ribosomal RNA (558 nucleotides) under bacterium amp-d-37. RNAcentral's name for it is "bacterial SSU rRNA". It matches the Rfam family "Bacterial small subunit ribosomal RNA", at positions 52 to 605 of the family's 1533-position model. The record is from RNAcentral.
CACAUGCAGUCGAGCGGUAGAGAGAAAGCUUGCUUCUCUUGAGAGCGGCGGACGGGUGAGUAAUGCCUAGGAAUCUGCCUGGUAGUGGGGGAUAACGUUCGGAAACGGACGCUAAUACCGCAUACGUCCUACGGGAGAAAGCAGGGGACCUUCGGGCCUUGCGCUAUCAGAUGAGCCUAGGUCGGAUUAGCUAGUUGGUGAGGUAAUGGCUCACCAAGGCGACGAUCCGUAACUGGUCUGAGAGGAUGAUCAGUCACACUGGAACUGAGACACGGUCCAGACUCCUACGGGAGGCAGCAGUGGGGAAUAUUGGACAAUGGGCGAAAGCCUGAUCCAGCCAUGCCGCGUGUGUGAAGAAGGUCUUCGGAUUGUAAAGCACUUUAAGUUGGGAGGAAGGGCAGUUACCUAAUACGUGAUUGUUUUGACGUUACCGACAGAAUAAGCACCGGCUAACUCUGUGCCAGCAGCCGCGGUAAUACAGAGGGUGCAAGCGUUAAUCGGAAUUACUGGGCGUAAAGCGCGCGUAGGUGGUUAGUUAAGUUGGAUGUGAAAUCCCCG